Vicia faba (fava bean) is the source of this 264-nucleotide non-coding RNA. NCBI's taxonomy places the organism in Eukaryota, Viridiplantae, Streptophyta, Magnoliopsida, Fabales, Fabaceae. The record is from the annotation of a GenBank genome assembly.
AUGAUAACACCGCCAUCAUUGCUUUCUCUCACCAUUGACUCUGCCGUUCACAAUCUCUCCGACAUCUCCGAUCUCUCUCCCAUCCCUGAUCACAUCCUCCUCGAUCUCUUCCUCAGAAUAUUGAAAGCAGGAAAACUGACUGAAAAAGUUCUCAAACUGUUUGUAGCAACCGGUAAGGACGAAGUUAUCUCACUUGUUCAGGCAUUGAAUAUUCGACAUAUUGUCACCCCUGUGCUUCCUACCAGAUGUUCUGAGAAAUUCUAA